This 1853-nucleotide long non-coding RNA is filed under the name Cricetulus griseus (Chinese hamster). RNAcentral describes it as "lncRNA (ENSCGRG00015042992.1)". Lineage: Eukaryota; Metazoa; Chordata; Mammalia; Rodentia; Cricetidae. The record is from RNAcentral.
CUGGAACAGACCCAAGCAGAGUUUUGGGGUUCCCAGCUGGUGAGGUCCCCACAAAAACCUGCUCAACAACAGAGUCUCUGAUACAGCAUUAACAAAGACCACCUCCUGCAAAGGCUCCCAGGCCAACUGAGGCCCUGGGGCCUCCAGCCAGCUUUAGGGCAGUAUGUCCUGGUGUUAGUGAGCAUGCAGGUGAAAGGAGAAAACAGGACAAAAGUAUAAAGGAGAAACAUCCCAUCCAGAAAGCCUUGCCUGCAGCCCGGUGCCAUCCUGCCUGUCCUGGAACCCAUAUGCUAGGCUAUUUGGUUUCUGCCCUCAAGGAUGCAGGGAUGGGCAAGGCAAAAAUUCCCUAGGUAAAAACUGAGGCAAUUGAUGAUGGGAGCUGAGGGGACUCUGACUCGGGUAUCACUGCUCCAUCUCAGAACAACCCCCACUGGAGCCUCAGGACUCCGGUUCCAUUUGCCAGAAUGAAACUUGGGCAGUAUGCAUCAGCUUGGGAGGUCCCUGUGACAUUCCAGCCCGGAAAAGGAUCCACAUCCAACAAAGAGAAGGAGCCCAAACCACCCUGGGUUGCUAACUGCUAUGUCAGAACUAGCGUAGCCUAGGCUUCCUGUCUCUGGGCCUUAAUAUCCACAGAGCACAGCAUCUACCACUCAGGGUUGCUCUGUCAUCAGAUGGCACUGCAUUUAGAGAGACCCAGGCAUGACCUAGGACCGUCCAUGUGGCCAUUUGCAGUUCACAUACUUCUCAAGACCCUUCACCCUUUACCUAAUUCAGGACUCUGGGACAGGGCAAAAUAGCCAGGGCACAUGAUUUGCCUGCAGGACAAGCCCAGGCCCAGGGAAGGGAAAACAGUCAAACUGGAGUCAGGACUAGGAGAAGAUCUCAUCCCUGUUUCCUUCUCCCACAACAGCCUGCAUGUGAGCGUGUCCCACAGGCCCCAGAUCACCUCCUCUGGGACACUGGAGGGCUCAGUCCAUCUUGCUGUCUCAUGAGGAAGCAGGGAUGGAGGGCAGGAAUGGAGGGCAGGAGAGGCGUCUUCCCCGGUGAGUCAUAGGGAGACUUGAGUUGUCUGCACCAUUUAGGGACUGGGUACCACGAGGCGUCCCGGGGGCUGGGCCUGCAGGGCCCUCAGAGGCUCCAGCUCCAGGCAGGCGGCCCUGAUCAGGGCGCACGUGGCUGCGGUGCAGCCGCACGGUGAUGUCAGGCCCACCGCGCCCGGGCCCCAGCACGUUCGUCCCGCUGGUGAGCCGGGAACAAAGCGUCCUCCACAUUCCUGUGCGCUGACUCAUAGCCGUCACGUAGCGCACUGCCAGCUGCUUUGCCCAAAAUUGGUGGCGAGGCGAGGGCGGGCCGAGCACCAUGGCCACCGCCUACUCGAAAAGCCACACAAGCUGGACCGCUUCGCGCCCCCGGCAUGAGGUUUCCCAACAAGCACAUCGGAGGGAAAUGACAGCGUGGGCUCUGUGGCCUGGAAUGCGAGGGUGGCAGCAGACAGACUUGAUGUUCGGACAAGAGAUGGGGCUUGCCUAUGGCUCUCUCAGCUGGAAGCUUAACCAACACCUGCAGCUCCAGGUUAUCCUGGACUUAAAAGUUCUCCCCUUCAGUCUCCUGGGGACUCUUUGGGCAACUUAGAAACCUCACCUGCCUCACAAAUGUUGGUACAUCCCCAGUGGACACUGAUCAGCACUGUCCUUGGAACACUGAACCAGAAUGCCAAACUGUACAGCCAUCAGUCCACAAAUCUGGUAUGCGCGUGAACUUUGUGAUAGCUAAGAAACAGCCAUCAGAUCUGAGGGGCCCAGGGGACAUGGGCAAGGAUGGCUAAGGCAAUCCUCACUGACUCUUGUUUCUAG